UUGAACUGAAGAGUUUGAUCAUGGCUCAGAUUGAACGCUGGCGGCAGGCCUAACACAUGCAAGUCGAGCGGAUGACGGGAGCUUGCUCCUUGAUUCAGCGGCGGACGGGUGAGUAAUGCCUAGGAAUCUGCCUGGUAGUGGGGGACAACGUUUCGAAA
RNAcentral lists this ribosomal RNA (158 nucleotides) under Pseudomonas putida S11. RNAcentral describes it as "partial 16S ribosomal RNA". It matches the Rfam family "Bacterial small subunit ribosomal RNA", at positions 1 to 156 of the family's 1533-position model. The record is from RNAcentral. Lineage: Bacteria; Pseudomonadati; Pseudomonadota; Gammaproteobacteria; Pseudomonadales; Pseudomonadaceae.